GUGAUAGUCAUUUGAAUCCAGAUAAUUUGCUGUAUCAGGCAAGAAUCACAACUUUGGUAGUUGCAGAGUGCUUGGUGGCCUUUUCCUCAACAUGGUAGCUUUACUUAUCAUAAUAGAGAUUUUUUAGAUCCUAGUAAAGACACUUUUGAGUUAGGAAUUAAAAGCUCCAAUUCUACAACCAUUUUGAUGCCAUAAUUUCUCUAAG
This 205-nucleotide unclassified non-coding RNA is filed under the name Hevea brasiliensis (rubber tree). The record is from RNAcentral. Lineage: Eukaryota; Viridiplantae; Streptophyta; Magnoliopsida; Malpighiales; Euphorbiaceae.